UCGGGCAGGUGUACCAGGCGUUGUAGGCCGCGCCGCUGGGGCCGGGGCUGGUGUCGGCGAGCAUCUUCUCGUCCAUCGGCUCGGCUUCCAGUUUGCCGGGG
RNAcentral lists this transfer RNA (101 nucleotides) under Pseudomonas sp. NBRC 100443. RNAcentral describes it as "tRNA-Pro". Lineage: Bacteria; Pseudomonadati; Pseudomonadota; Gammaproteobacteria; Pseudomonadales; Pseudomonadaceae. The record is from RNAcentral.